GCGGGAUUCGUAUAGUGGCAAUACGCGACCUUCCCAAGGUUGAGACACGGGUCCGAUUCCCGUAUCCCGCUCAA
Molecule: transfer RNA, 74 nt
Filed under: Candidatus Yanofskybacteria bacterium RIFCSPHIGHO2_01_FULL_43_32
Lineage: Bacteria; Candidatus Yanofskyibacteriota
Also listed under: 5 other names
Description: tRNA-Gly
Rfam family: tRNA
About the family: Transfer RNA (tRNA) molecules are approximately 80 nucleotides in length.
Source: RNAcentral